GGUUAUUGGGUCUUCAAGGCAAGUGGAAAGAGCACUGGACUUGGAGGCAGGAAGACC
RNAcentral lists this microRNA precursor (57 nucleotides) under Propithecus coquereli (Coquerel's sifaka). RNAcentral describes it as "microRNA 378b (ENSPCOG00000008803.1)". The record is from RNAcentral. Lineage: Eukaryota; Metazoa; Chordata; Mammalia; Primates; Indriidae.